This 204-nucleotide ribosomal RNA is filed under the name uncultured prokaryote. RNAcentral's name for it is "partial 16S ribosomal RNA". It matches the Rfam family "Bacterial small subunit ribosomal RNA", at positions 524 to 726 of the family's 1533-position model. The record is from RNAcentral.
UACGGGGGGAGCAAGCGUUGUUCGGAUUUACUGGGCGUAAAGGGCGCGUAGGCGGCCAGCACAAGUCAGUUGUGAAAUCCCCGGGCUUAACCUGGGAAUUGCGCUUGAAACUAGCGGGCUUGAGUGUGGCAGAGGGGGGUGGAAUUCCACGUGUAGCAGUGAAAUGCGUAGAGAUGUGGAGGAACACCGAUGGCGAAGGCGGCG